This 336-nucleotide ribosomal RNA is filed under the name Metagonia furcata. Its description in RNAcentral is "bacterial SSU rRNA". It matches the Rfam family "Eukaryotic small subunit ribosomal RNA", at positions 1473 to 1804 of the family's 1831-position model. Lineage: Eukaryota; Metazoa; Arthropoda; Arachnida; Araneae; Pholcidae. The record is from RNAcentral.
UUAGAUGUCCGGGGCCGCACGCGCGCUACACUGAAGGAAUCAGCGUGUGCUUCCCCGGUCCGAGAGGACCGGGUAACCCGUUGAACCUCCUUCGUGAUAGGGAUAGGAGCUUGUAAUUAUUCUCCUUGAACGAGGAAUGCCCAGUAAGCACGAGUCAUUAGCUCGUGUUGAUUACGUCCCUGCCCUUUGUACACACCGCCCGUCGCUACUACCGAUUGAAUGAUUUAGUGAGGUCUUCGGACUGGCGCUCGUGGCGGCUUUCGGGCCGAUGCGGCGUGCCGGAAAGAUGACCGAACUUGGUCAUUUAGAGGAAGUAAAAGUCGUAACAAGGUUACC